Oryzias melastigma (Indian medaka) is the source of this 383-nucleotide long non-coding RNA. RefSeq lists it as uncharacterized. Lineage: Eukaryota; Metazoa; Chordata; Actinopteri; Beloniformes; Adrianichthyidae. The transcript is spliced from 3 exons. The record is from RefSeq and is a predicted model, not a curated record.
UUACGCACAAAUCAGGAAUUAUACACAAACAAAUCGGGGUGGUACUUAUUUCUCCAGAUAAUAAAUCUUCAGAGGGAGUUCCAACCACUGAGGGGAGGAUGAAGAACUCUUGGAAAAAUGUUUUAUUUUUCUUCAUAUAAAAGAAGAGAUUCAGCCAGGCUCCUUGCGCCGUCUCCGCGUAGCUCUGGAUGUGUUCCCAUAUGAAGCUGUUUUCUGCCUCAUCCAUGACGGAGAGAAGCUCCGCCCCAACUAGAAAGACAGAGAGGAGGAAGAAUUUUGCGCAACAUCCUGCAGCCUAAGACUAUGCAAGCUGAAGGCGUAGCAGUUGUUUCUGAAGUGGACCCAUGACCACUGUCCCACAGAGUGGGGGCAUUGUCCGGGAU